This is a long non-coding RNA of Eriocheir sinensis (Chinese mitten crab), 1241 nucleotides long. RefSeq lists it as uncharacterized. The transcript has 4 exons. NCBI's taxonomy places the organism in Eukaryota, Metazoa, Arthropoda, Malacostraca, Decapoda, Varunidae. The record is from RefSeq and is a predicted model, not a curated record.
AAGACAAGUGGAAAUAAGUUGCUGGGAAAGCUGUGUGGCCGGGCCGUCCCGUGAGAGCCACUCACUGUUGUUUGAUCUCAACAGUUGUGUUAACACACGAUGUAGCUUAAAGAUGUCAGCUGGUGAACUGUUUCUUGCUAAGUAAAGUCAUCCAAUCAAUCGUCCAAGCAACCAAUCAGUCACAGAAGGAAAACAAUAAUCAGAAGAAAGAGGGAAGCGGAUGCUGCGCCGCGAGCCGUCGCGAGGAUUUCCUUGGAUGUGCGCGCGUUGCCGCGGCGCCUCGGCCUUCCGUCCCUGAACCGUGUGACGCGGUGAUCGGCGACUUUUCGGUAUUUGUGAUUAAUUUCAUAAUCCAGUCUGGUAGUUUUCUGAAGCGAGAUCCUGCAUCUUCCCUCCUCGCCUCGGCGGGGUGCGAAGCGCCAGCGAGCCCAAGGUCUCCCUGGCGAGCAUGGCAGGAAUGGAGGGCUCCCGGCAGGGCGCCUCGGCGUCCCCGGGGCCCCCACGGAGGUGCCGGAGGUCUGCCGGCUACAAGUCCGGGCAGGUGCGGCUGGUUAGCCGUGGUAGGCAAUUCACCUAGGAGAGCAAACUCCGAACAACAAACCGGGCAGGUGGGGCUCGUUAGCCGUGGUAGGCAAUUCACCUAGGAGAGCAAACUCCGAACAACAAACCCGGGCAGGUGGAGCUCGUUAGCCGUGGUAGGCAAUUCACCUAGGAGAGCAAACUCCGAACAACAAACCCGGGCAGGUGGAGCUCGUUAGCCGUGGUAGGCAAUUCACCUAGGAGAGCAAACUCCGAACAACAAACCCGGGCAGGUGGAGCUCGUUAGCCGUGGUAGGCAGUUCACCUAGGAGAGCAAACUCCGAACAACAAACCCGGGCAGGUGGAGCUCGUUAGCCGUGGUAGGCAGUUCACCUAGGAGAGCAAACUCCGAACAACAAACCCGGGCAGGUGGAGCUCGUCAGAUGUCGUAGACAUCCACGUGAUGGGAACACCAAAAUGAAAAUGAAAAUGAAAAAGAACACCAGAAUGAAGAAAAUGUAGAAACGAAACAUCAAGAAAACUAAAUAUGAAACAGAUCAUCCACCUUUCGGCCCUAACUAACAUCACCAAAAUUAUGGGUGGGUCUUUUCUGGGGAGAAAAAGGCUCAUCCAGACCACAGAACAUCAAACAGGGAUGACACAGAAAAGAUAAAAGACCAACAUCAAGAAAAGAAGAAAAAAACAUCAUCCACCUUUCGGAC